GGGGGGAGAGAGAGAGAGAGGAGGGGAGAGAGAGGAGGGGGGAGAGAGGGGAAAGAGAGGAGGGGGAGAGAGAGCGAGAAAGAGAGAGGAGGGGGGAGAGAGGGGGAUGGAUAGAGAGAAAGUGGGGGGGAGAGAGAGGAGGGGGGAGAGAGAGGAGGAGUUACAGCUGAGAAGAUAAUUUCUGUGAAUAACUCAAGGGCCCCAUUCCAAUACUCUACAAAUACAUCCUUCCUUCCCACGGGUCCCAUUCCAAUACUCUACAAAUACAUCCUUCCUUCCCACGGGCCCCAUUCCAAUACUCUACAAAUACAUCCUUCCUUCCCACGGGUCCCAUUCCAAUACUCUACAAAUACAUCCUUCCUUCCCACGGGCCCCAUUCCAAUACUCUACAAAUACAUCCUUCCUUCCCACGGGCCCCAUUCCAAUACUUUACAAAUACAUCCUUCCUUCCCACGGGCCCCAUUCCAAUACUCUACAAAUACAUCCUUCCUUCCCACGGGCCCCAUUCCAAUACUCUACAAAUACAUCCUUCCUUCCCACGGGCCCCAUUCCAAUACUCUACAAAUACAUCCUUCCUUCCCACGGGCCCCAUUCCAAUACUCUACAAAUACAUCCUUCCUUCCCACGGGCCCCAUUCCAAUACUUUACAAAUACAUCCUUCCUUCCCACGGGCCCCAUUCCAAUACUCUACAAAUACAUCCUUCCUUCCCACGGGCCCCAUUCCAAUACUCUACAAAUACAGCCUUCCUUCUAUUCAUGCACAUCUCUCCAGGUUUCCCACGUUGAGCCAACAUUAUAACAUUACAUUAUAACACAUUGUCUUUAAAACACGUCAAAACCUAAGUUCUACUCUACAGGUGACAGUGAAGGGCAGUAAGGACCUUGUUUACACAAAGCUCUUGGAAUGGGGGAGGAGGGGUGAGGGAGGAGGGACAGAGAUAGAGGAAAGGGGUGAGGAGGGACAGAGGGUGAGGAGGGGUGAGGUAGGAGGGACAGAGAUGGGGGAAAGGGGUGAGGAGUGAUGAGGUAGGAGGGACAGAGGGUGAGGAGGGGUGAGGGAUGGGGGUGAGGGCAGGUAGAUGUACAGACAACAUACUUUUUUUUUAAAGAGUUUCAGGUGAGAAAGAUGAGAAGAACAGGAAGUGACAGACUGGUAGGGAGUGGGAAAGAGAAGAAGGACAGGAAGUGACAGACUGGUAUGAAGAAGUAAAAGAUGAGAAGAACAGGAAGUGACAGACUGGUAUUAAGGAGUAAAAGAUGAGAAGGACAGGAAGUGACAGACUGGUAUGAAGAAGUAAAAGAGAAGAAGGAAGCACCAAUUAUAUAACAUAUACCAUCUAAGAGUUAAAU
This 1350-nucleotide long non-coding RNA is filed under the name Salmo salar (Atlantic salmon). RNAcentral describes it as "lncRNA (ENSSSAG00000093766.1)". Lineage: Eukaryota; Metazoa; Chordata; Actinopteri; Salmoniformes; Salmonidae. The record is from RNAcentral.